GGAGAACGUUUUCUUCGGAAAACUAUUAAACUGGCGAACGGGUGAGUAACACGUAGGCAACCUGCCUUGGAGAUUGGGAUAACCCCGGGAAACCGGAGCUAAUACCGAAUAAUGCAACAGGUCCUUCGGGAAAUGUUGUUAAAGCGGGCUUCGGCUCGCACUUCAAGAUGGGCCUGCGCCCGAUUAGCUUGUUGGUAAGGUAACGGCUUACCAAGGCGAUGAUCGGUAGCUGGUCUGAGAGGAUGAUCAGCCACACUGGGAUUGAGAUACGGUCCAGACUCCUACGGGAGGCAGCAGUGGGGAAUUUUGCGCAAUGGGCGAAAAGCCUGACGCAGCAACGCCGCGUGACCCGAUGAAAGCUUUCUAGGAGUGUAAAGGUCUGUCGUGAGGGAAGAAAAAUCCGGAUGUAAAUAAUGUUCGGACCUGACGGUACCUCACAAGAAAGCACCGGCUAACUUCGUGCCAGCAGCCGCGGUAAUACGAGGGGUGCUAGCGUUGUCCGGAAUCACUGGGCGUAAAGGGUCCGUAGGCGUUUUGCUAAGUUGAUUGUUAAAUCCAUCGGCUCAACCGAUGACCUGCAAUCAAAACUGGCAGAAUAGAGUUCGAGAGGGGAAAGUAGAAUUCCUGGUGUAGCGGUGACAUGCGUAGAUAUCAGGAGGAAUACCGAUGGCGAAGGCAGCUUUCUGGCUCGAUACUGACGCUGAGGGACGAAAGCGUGGGGAGCGAACAGGAUUAGAUACCCUGGUAGUCCACGCCGUAAACGAUGAGUACUUGAUGUCGGGGGAUUCGACCCCUUCGGUGUCGUAGCUAACGCGAUAAGUACUCCGCCUGGGGACUACGACCGCAAGGUUGAAACUCAAAGGAAUUGACGGGGACCC
This 878-nucleotide ribosomal RNA is filed under the name uncultured bacterium. Its description in RNAcentral is "bacterial SSU rRNA". It matches the Rfam family "Bacterial small subunit ribosomal RNA", at positions 67 to 922 of the family's 1533-position model. The record is from RNAcentral.